RNAcentral lists this ribosomal RNA (253 nucleotides) under uncultured bacterium. RNAcentral's name for it is "partial 16S ribosomal RNA". It matches the Rfam family "Bacterial small subunit ribosomal RNA", at positions 524 to 776 of the family's 1533-position model. The record is from RNAcentral.
UACAGAGGUCUCAAGCGUUGUUCGGAUUCAUUGGGCGUAAAGGGUGCGUAGGUGGCGCUGUAAGUCGGGUGUGAAAUUUCAGAGCUUAACUCCGAAACUGCAUUCGAUACUGCGGUGCUUGAGGACUGGAGAGGAGACUGGAAUUCAUGGUGUAGCAGUGAAAUGCGUAGAGAUCAUGAGGAAGACCAGUGGCGAAGGCGGGUCUCUGGACAGUUCCUGACACUGAGGCACGAAGGCCAGGGGAGCAAACGGG